GACCUACGGGAGGCAGCAGUGAGGGAUAUUGGUCAAUGGGGGAAACCCUGAACCAGCAACACCGCGUGAGGGAAGACGGUUUUCGGAUUGUAAACCUCUGUCCUCUGUGAAGAUAAUGACGGUAGCAGAGGAGGAAGCUCCGGCUAACUACGUGCCAGCAGCCGCGGUAAUACGUAGGGAGCAAGCGUUGUCCGGAUUUACUGGGUGUAAAGGGUGCGUAGGCGGCUUUGCAAGUCAGAAGUGAAAUCCAUGGGCUUAACCCAUGACCUGCUUUUGAACCUUCAGAGCUUGAGUGGGGUAGAGGU
Molecule: ribosomal RNA, 305 nt
Filed under: uncultured bacterium
Lineage: Bacteria
Description: bacterial SSU rRNA
Rfam family: Bacterial small subunit ribosomal RNA
Source: RNAcentral